GGAACAAUUUAACGAACGUUAAAAGGGAAAGCGAUUAACCGAAGGCGAUAACAAGAGAAAAAAGAAGAAACGUCGAGAGAAUCGGAGAGUUACGUUCGAUAUUUACCGCGAUUCUUUCGAGACGAGAGUAUAAAGAAAGGAAUAAUUCAUACAUCUUGGAUAGAACGAGACGUAAGUGGGCACGAUAAUGAGAAGCGUUUUGUUUUCUGCCCUUCGGUUCUCAUGAAACAUUGAAUAGCUGGAACAAAAGCUACCUGCGAGACAACGAUCUCUCCUCUGCCGAUCGACGAACACGCCUCUCCAGCUUCAAAUAGCAGCCAACUAUAUAGCCUCGCGAGAAAAAUGAAACGAAAGACAGAGUAAAGGAAGGGAAAAGGAGAAACUUUAUCGCUGUUCUCCAGGAUGGUUAUUCCGCUUUCCAAGAUUUUCGGAAGCUCGAGUAUUGUUUCGGACCGGGUAAAGGACCGAGAGGGCCUGUUGGCAUCUGGAAUCAAGACGAAACACGAGCUACGUUCCACGUUCCUCCGCUCCUUUCUCUCCUUUUCACCUCUCACUCUCGCGUUCUUGCCUCGCUUCUUUUCUUUAACCCGCAUCUUUUCUCAACCGUGACUCUGUUUCCCUCCGCGUCCUGCAUCUUGUCGUGUUUCUUUUCAUCUUCCCUUCUAUUCGCUCCUAUCUGCCUUCGUCUCAAGCUACACCUCUUCCAACGCCACGCGUCUUUGCUCAGUUUUUAGUUUCACGUUGCGACAAACAUCUUCGCUCUUUCCCAUUCCAGGCAACUCUAACUUUGCGAAAUUCGUUAAGGUCGCACCGUAAAAGUUCAUUUCCCUUCAAAAUCCGUACCGUCGUCGAAUCUCUCCGCAUAUUAUCGAUAUCUCGCUCUCUCGACGGACCGAGCGGAGCUGAUUCUUCGGUUAAAUUCCUUUGUACUCCGCGAAGCUACUUCCGCAACGUUGUUCGUUCGUUCGACGCGUUCAACUUCGAAUUCCACUAUUUCGUUAAAGUUAUCUUCGCCGGAUCUCGCAAAGGUAAUUAAAGCGCGUACGGUAUUUUUCGAAUGUAGCGAGUCGACUGGCCGUCCAUGCGUCUGUUAUUACGACGAGAGCGAGAUCGCUUUGGACUAGAAAACACGGUCACGCAAAUGCAUGCAUCGUUUGUACGCGUACAGGUACAGACGCGGGUGUACAAAGCUCGCAUAGAUGGCGCGUAACCAACGUACUUGAUCGUACAUACAUAGACGCAUUACGUAAAAGCGACCGCGAGAUCACGUAAAUGUAAGCGUUACUCCGCCAAGACGGAUCGAUCGAUCGAUCGUUCCUCUCCCAUUCGUUCAGUCCUCUCGUUCGCUCGUCCAAUUCUUUUCACAAGAAAUCGAGAUAACGUAUCUAUCAACGUCCGACGAAAAUUUACGUUUCCGCCAACAACAAGAAUCCCUGUAACGAGUUCGAUCGGAGUAACGCGAAAAGAUUUCGCAAGAAUCACGCGUACUCUUCGUCGUUCGGAUCAAGGUACUUGGGGGAAACGUCGUUGUAAACUUUGAUGCGUUUAUUUCAAGCAAGAAUAUGCAUAAAAUACGCAAAAUUUGACGAAUUAUUUACGUCCGCAAGAUACGAAUCCGCAUAAGUAUCCACGGUCUAACCGUACGUUAUGAAACGUCUGAAAUGCCAUCUCCUAAGCGACGAACAACAAAUACGUACGCAAGUACGAUGUUCGUCGAUCGACUCGUUUACCGAACGAUUCGUAGACUAACCGACCUUACCGAUUACAUCGUGUACCAGCGACCAAGUUCUACGAUCGACGAUUAUUCUUAACGUUAAGAACAAUUAAUAAAAGUUAACGUACAGAGUCACGGUGAGGAGAAAAGUUUGCUCACGGAACCCAGCUGGUUUCUUCUACUUUUACCUCGUCUCUGCACGAAUUGGCGAGCGAACCGAGCGCGAGCGCAGCUGGGUUAAGGAUCAGAAGCAUCCGAUUAAAUUGCUCCUGUAAAAUGGGGAUCCGCAGGUGCGACGCCGGUUAGAUGCUUCACCGGGAUAUGCAUAUUCCGAAAUGGACGAUUUUUUAUGGCAGCUUAACCCGGCCGAGAAAUUGUAUUUUUCAAAUUCGCUUCCGAGAGCAACGCGCGUCCGACUGCUCGAAAUUAAUCGGCCAACUCGAGCGGAAUCGUUGAGUUUGCUCGUUAAAUAACGCGCUUUUCUUCCCCGGUUUCGCCAUAGCUCGCGUCCACUUUAUUUCACAUCGACAACGACGAAAACAAGCGAAAGAGUAACAAUUAUCGAACGGCGAUUCGAUUUCGAGAUCGAAGAAGAAGGUGAUUGCCGCGAGAAUUGUCCCGCGAUAGACGAAUAUACUAGUCCUUGGAAAGUUUUCCAAGGUAACCUGGAAAAUUGUGAUCGCCCCUUGCGAACGAUCGUUCCAUCUCCGCAUUUAAACGUACAAUUUCGCGUUGUUUAAACGGUACGCGUGGCUCUCGUACCCGCCGACCUAUCAGGAGACUCGAUUUUUUAACAUUCCUAUCGACGGUCCUCGGAAACUGUAGCGUGAAAGUGCAUAAUCGGAAAGGGUCGACCGAAUCGAGUGGAACGUUUCAAGGAUUGAUAUUUGUCCGCGUGUGAAUCGCGAAUCGAUUCGGCCGAUGCUUUCGUCUCUCGGAUUUAUCUAGAUAAUUAUAUUCGACGAUUUCUAGAGAAACGCGGAAGAACGGUGAAAACGAUAGUAGAAAUUAUCCCAACGACGAGAUUAUGCGUGUCAAACGCAUAUUUAUAUACAUAUAUCGUAUACGCGGUCGCGUAACGUGUAUACAUAUACGAUGUAUACAUACACGUAGCUCGAUAAGAACAUUUGAACGGCAAAGUAUUAUAAAUAUAGAUUAUAUAUAUAUAUAUAUAUAUAUAUAUAUUAUAAAUAACAUAUUAUAAGUUACUAUCCGUUGGUACAUAUCGCACUUACAACCGGUAGAGGUAAAGAACGGAUGUCGAUGGAAAUGGAAAUGGAAAAAUCGCCCCGAAAGAAAGAUCGAAAAUAUUUCGCGGCGAAACGAGAAACAUGCCGAUACUAUGAGACGUGUUUGAAACGAAACUCGUAUUCCGAGAUGAUUCGUCAUGAAGGAAUUACCGUGAGAGGAAUCUAUCGAACGUAACUAUAGAACAACGAGAAGAAGAGAUUGGAUUCUCGCGUCAACCGGGAUCGGUAAGAAGAGAUUUCGUUUAACAUGGAUCUCGUUGCAUCGAUCACGGUCACUGCCAUUGGUCGCGGACUAGCUAAUUCACGCACGAUUGCUCGAGAUCGUCUUUUGUAAAUUUUAUACCUUUGAAACGAAAACCCUUUCGAUCUUCUUUUCCGCGGGCUGUUUCGCAAGCGAUCCAAAUCGACGCGAACUUUCGUCGGCUUUCGGUAAAAGAAAAAGACGUGGUCGAGUGAGAAUCGUAGGGAAUAAAGCGCAUGGAGAAAUAAAAAGGAAGCAUACGUGCGUGCGUGCGUGCGUGAGAGAAUAAGGAAGAAAAAGAAGAGAGUGCGAUAUACAUGUGCGAAGGAGUAAGAAAAAGAUCGAAUCGAAUGGAUGGCUUGUGACACGAUUUGUAAAUGCAGACACGACGACAUCGCCAAGUCUCGCGACACAACGAACAUAAUAAAAAAAAGUUCUUCGUUUUCUACAUA
This is a long non-coding RNA of Bombus pascuorum, 3657 nucleotides long. RefSeq lists it as uncharacterized. NCBI's taxonomy places the organism in Eukaryota, Metazoa, Arthropoda, Insecta, Hymenoptera, Apidae. The record is from RefSeq and is a predicted model, not a curated record. The transcript is spliced from 2 exons.